This 350-nucleotide ribosomal RNA is filed under the name Albinaria jaeckeli. RNAcentral's name for it is "partial large subunit ribosomal RNA". Lineage: Eukaryota; Metazoa; Mollusca; Gastropoda; Stylommatophora; Clausiliidae. The record is from RNAcentral.
GAAAUUUUAACGGCCGCAGUACCUUGACUGUGCAAAGGUAGCAUAAUCAUUUGACUUUUAAAUGAAGCCUGGAAUGAAAGAAAGAACGUGGACAAGUUGUCUCAUUACAUUAAUUUAAACUUGCUGUAAGAGUGAAAAUACUCUUAUUUUAAAAAAUAGACGAGAAGACCCUUAGAAUUUUUAUAAUAUACAAGUAUUAAUCUUGUAAAAUUUUUUGUUGGGGCAACAAUAUUUCAUCAAAAUAAAUAUUUUAUUUUAGUGAUAAGUCGAUUAAAUAAUUAUAGUAAAAUUACCUAAGGGAUAACAGCAUAAUUUUAGAAAUAAGCUUGUGACCUCGAUGUUGGACUAGG